Long non-coding RNA from Cyprinus carpio (common carp), 815 nucleotides. NCBI's taxonomy places the organism in Eukaryota, Metazoa, Chordata, Actinopteri, Cypriniformes, Cyprinidae. The record is from Ensembl.
GACUGAACUUUGAACAGUUUUUUAUAAGAUGAACUGGUGUUACACAGCGUGUGUCAUUGCUCUGUUGAAAUGAAAGCUGAUGAUGGACUUACAAAAUGUGAUAAUUCUUCUACUGUUGUCUUGCACCACUGUGUUUACAGUACUGCAUGGACAGAAAGUUGUCACUGAUCUUAAGGUUACUGGGUACCAGGGUCAUGAUGUCACACUGUUGUGCCAAUAUAUCAAUGGAAACACAGAAGACAAAAUACUACAAAUGCAGUGAACGUGGCAGAAUGAGUCCAGUUAAUAUGAAAUCAUGGUCUUUAGCACAGACCAUGGCCUUUCUCUGCAUGACACAUUCCUGAAAGACAGAGUCAGCUUCAGAAAGAGCUCACCGCCGAUCUAUGAGGCCUCCAUCAUCAUCAAAGAUGUGAAGAUGAGUGAUCAGGGAGUUUACAGCUGUGCCUACACAACCUUCCCUAGCGGCAGUCAUACAGGACAAACCACUCUUACAGUGUUAGAAGAUACAACUCAGAGCCCCAGUGACCUGCAGGAUGUCACCUAUUCUGAUGUCACAAUACUGAAACCAGGCAAAGCUAACAGAAGCACCUCGUCAUCGGGGGACAUUGAAUACUCUGCGGUUUCCUUCAGUGGUCGGUCAGGAUCAGCGCCCCUGCGAGCCUCAGACUGCUUUGGGUUUCCACACAGCAGAGCAUGAAACUCUGUAUGCACAGGUGAAAAAAGACUAAUUUUAAGUACAAAUGUCACAUCUACUAAAGGUUUCUAGGUGUUUGAACAGUAGAGACAAUAAAGGGCUGAUCACAACAAGGACGACA